This 27-nucleotide ribosomal RNA is filed under the name Perkinsus marinus. Its description in RNAcentral is "partial large subunit ribosomal RNA". The record is from RNAcentral. RNAcentral also lists the same sequence under 2 other names. Lineage: Eukaryota; Perkinsozoa; Perkinsida; Perkinsidae.
AGAAGGCCUGAUGUGUGUGAGAUUACC